This 257-nucleotide ribosomal RNA is filed under the name uncultured bacterium. RNAcentral's name for it is "partial 16S ribosomal RNA". It matches the Rfam family "Bacterial small subunit ribosomal RNA", at positions 333 to 606 of the family's 1533-position model. The record is from RNAcentral.
GGCCGCCUACGGGAGGCAGCAGUGGGGGAUAUUGCACAACGGGGGAAACCCUGAUGCAGCGACGCCGCGUGUAGGAAGACGGUCCUCUGAAUUGUAAACUACUGUCCCCAGGGACGAAGAUGACGGUACCUGGGGAGGAAGCUCCGGCUAACUACGUGCCAGCAGCCGCGGUAAUACGUAGGGAGCGAGCGUUGUCCGGAAUUACUGGGUGUAGAGGGAGCGUAGGCGGGGAUGGAAGUUGGGAGUUAAAUCUACCG